Molecule: ribosomal RNA, 498 nt
Filed under: uncultured bacterium
Lineage: Bacteria
Description: bacterial SSU rRNA
Rfam family: Bacterial small subunit ribosomal RNA
Source: RNAcentral
CGACGCUGGCGGCGUGCCUAAUACAUGCAAGUCGAGCGGACCAACUUAAGAGCUUGCUCUUAUGAGGUUAGCGGCGGACGGGUGAGUAACACGUGGGCAACUCGCCCUGUAGACUGGGAUAACAUCGAAGAAAUCGGUGCUAAUACCGGAUAAUUGUUGGAACUGCAUAGUUCUAACUUGAAAGAUGGCUCCGGCUAUCACUAUAGGAUGGGCCCGCGGCGCAUUAGCUAGUUGGUAAGGUAAUGGCUUACCAAGGCGACGAUGCGUAGCCGACCUGAGAGGGUGAUCGGCCACACUGGGACUGAGACACGGCCCAGACUCCUACGGGAGGCAGCAGUAGGGAAUCUUCCGCAAUGGACGAAAGUCUGACGGAGCAACGCCGCGUGAGUGAUGAAGGUUUUCGGAUCGUAAAGCUCUGUUGUUAGGGAAGAACAAGUGCCGUUCGAAUAGGGCGGCACCUUGACGGUACCUAACCAGAAAGCCACGGCUAACUACGUG